Molecule: transfer RNA, 64 nt
Filed under: Colobochyla salicalis
Lineage: Eukaryota; Metazoa; Arthropoda; Insecta; Lepidoptera; Erebidae
Description: tRNA-Cys
Source: RNAcentral
GGCCUUAUAUUCAUAUAAUGAUAUAAAAUUGCAAAUUUUAAGGAGUAAAAUAUUACUAAGGCCU